This is a long non-coding RNA of Mustela erminea (ermine), 121 nucleotides long. RefSeq lists it as uncharacterized. Lineage: Eukaryota; Metazoa; Chordata; Mammalia; Carnivora; Mustelidae. The record is from RefSeq and is a predicted model, not a curated record. The transcript is spliced from 5 exons.
ACUGAGUAUUUUGAGGGCUGGGGUACUGGGGGAUGUGUUAGCCUGGUGAUGAGUAUUAAGGAGAACAUGUAUUGCAUGGCGCACUGAGUGUGCUGCAUAAACACUGAAUCUUGGAACACUG